Molecule: ribosomal RNA, 431 nt
Filed under: uncultured bacterium
Lineage: Bacteria
Description: bacterial SSU rRNA
Rfam family: Bacterial small subunit ribosomal RNA
Source: RNAcentral
GUGGGGAAUCUUGCGCAAUGGACGCAAGUCUGACGCAGCGACGCCGCGUGAGUGAAGAAGGCCUGCGGGUCGUAAAGCUCUGUCAAGAGGGACGAAAAUGCUUAGGGUUCAUAGCCCUAGGUACUGACGGUACCUUUGAAGGAAGCACCGGCUAACUCCGUGCCAGCAGCCGCGGUAAUACGGAGGGUGCAAGCGUUGCUCGGAAUUAUUGGGCGUAAAGGGAUGGUAGGUGGUCUCGUGUGUCUGAAGUGAAAGCCCAGGGCUUAACCCUGGAAGUGCUUUGGAAACUACGAGACUAGAGUCUUGGAGAGGUUAGCGGAAUUCCCAGUGUAGCGGUGAAAUGCGUAGAUAUUGGGAGGAACACCAGAGGCGAAGGCGGCUAACUGGACAAGAACUGACACUAAACAUCGAAAGCGUGGGGAGCAAACAGG